Molecule: long non-coding RNA, 3919 nt
Filed under: Homo sapiens (human)
Lineage: Eukaryota; Metazoa; Chordata; Mammalia; Primates; Hominidae
Description: non-protein coding lnc-ZNF8-2:2
Source: RNAcentral
CUGCACUCCAGCCUGGGUGACAGAGCUAGACUCCAUCUCGAAAAAAAUAAAAGAACUUCCCGUGUCCGUUUUUGCUUUUUGGAUGCUGGGAGUGUCACAACUCAGCUAUCCAAUCAAGGCAGAGCUGGCCUCCAGGAUGCCAGAGCCAGAGCUUUGUGGUUCAUCUCUAGAGGUUCAACAGGACCCUGUGGAUGGCCCAAGUUCGUUUCUCUGCACUUACCUCUUCGGGGUUGUCCUCAAAACGUUGCCGUGUCAGCUCUCACUUUUCACAGCAACUCUGGCCUCCUACCUUGGACUGCGCCACUUCUGUCUCCUUAGAUAACCUCCAUUCGCAUAGCUAAAUGCUGCACCCUCCGACACUGCCACAAUAAUAGUUCUGUGAGUUAGUACCAUUUUAUAGAUAGGCAAAAUUUGGCACAGGACAAAAGUUAGUGGUAACUAGAACAAAAGUAACCAGCCCAAGCUAGGAAGUGGUGGAGUUAGAAUUUGAUGUCAGCACCCAGCUGACCAUGGCUUAAACAGAUGAGGCUUUGUUCAAAGGCUGUCUUUUCAGUGGCUCAGCUGUGUCACAGUCGAUGUUUUCUGCAAUCUCUCAACCUUUCCAUUGUGGUCAUGAGGAGACUCCUAUGGCUCCAGCCAUUGCAUCCACAGUGAAGACUGAAAGAAGGGGGAAUGGGCAGGCCAACACUUACCGCUGAUGGUGUUUAAAGGAAAAACAUUCCCAGAAGCCUGCAGCACAUGCCCCCCUUAGUCUCACUGGCCACAGAUGGGUCAGGGGGCCACCCCUAAUAACAACGGGGCUUAGAAACCUCGUAUUUACCUUUCUAACCUCUGUGGUGGAGACAGGUGGGAGAGAAAAGUCCUGGGAAGUGGAUGAUGGAGGCAGCUAGCCGUAGCUGCUGCUUUUCUCUUCAAGCUCUUGGGAGAAUUGCUUGUGCUCCCUAUUCCCUUGGUGGAUGAUGGAGGCAGCUAGCCGUAUCUGCUGCUUUUCUCCUUCAAGCUCUUGGGAGAAUCGCUUGUGCUCCCUAUUCCCUUGGUGGCAGCUCACACCUCAGACCUGCUGUCCGCCCCCACUGCUUCACAGAACCCACUGCAACCACUGUCCAAGGUACUACCUCUGGUGUCGUCUCUCUUCAUCCCCAGGACUGUGAAGCCUGCUAACCUCUUUGCAGAGCUCCAUCUCCUUGCAUUGUGGGGUUCCUUCUAACUCUUCAGGGACUUCUCAACCUCCCGUCACCCUUCCUAAAUGCUGGGGUCCUAGAGUCCACCUUGUGCUCCACGCCCUCCCCAGGUGUCAUCUACAUCCCUAGCUUUGUGCUGCUCACCACCAAAUCAGUCUGGUGCUUCUGAGAUUUGGGCUUCAGACCCAAACAACUGCUGUGUGCUACUGGGCAACUCCCCGAGGUGUGCCGAAAGCUCCCCAAACCCAGCCUACCCCAAACAAAACUCAUUUUCCACCCAGACUAGUCUCUGCUUCCCUGAUCCCUUUCCUGGAGGCUGUUUCCACUUGCCAUCCCAUCAUGGAAGCCAGAAAACCAGUCUUCUUGACCUCUCCCCUUCCCCACUCCAUGGAGUUAGAGGUCCUGUUGAUUUUGCCAUGUAAACAUUUCGGAUUUGCUUACUUCAUCCCCACUGCCACCAACAGUGCAGGAUGGCCCUAAGAGGAGAAGUAAUGUGCUACCAAGUGGCCCAGCCAGAGUGUGAACCAAACAGUCUGGUACCAAAACCCUAUUCUGGAUCAUUCCUCCUUUCUGCUCCACCAGCAGUUUGGGGCACAGGCUUGGGAAUCCAGACAGGAAAGCUCCUCCCCUCUGAAGCAGUGGGACCAAAAAUGACAGCAUGGUUCUAGACAGCUCUGGAAGUCAGGCCUGUGAUUGCCUCAUUCCCUCCACCUUGGCCCCCAAAAUGGCCAGUCCUGAAGGGGUCACAGUUGAUACUUCUCUGAGGGGGCAUGGGGUUGGCUGAGGUUAUAGCAGCCCCACAGGGUGGUAAGCUGGGAUGAAGCAAUCAACUGGAACUCAACAAGCCUUGAGUUCUCAAAGGGGGUGUGGGAAGGUUCUUAUACAUCUUCUAUGAAGGGCAGUUUAUCAGUCACUAAAUUACAAAUACAUAAACCCUUUGUCUCACCAAACCUGCUGGGAAUGAAUCCUACAUAUAUAUUUAUAUGUGUGCAGGCUACAUGGUUUUCAUUAUGCUAUUGAUUUUAAAAGUAAAAAUUUGGAAAGAACCUCCAUGUCCACCAUGGGGAACUGGCUAAGUCAUUUAUGGUGGAAUGGUGAUCAUAAAAAUUCAUUAAAAAUGAAGACUCUAUAUACAGCUUGAAUAUUCCUUAUCGAAAUGCUUGGGACCAGAAGUGUUUCAGAUCUUUGCAUAUUUUCUGUUUCUCAUUUCAGUUCACAUUUUCUAAGCAUGAUAUUCCUACUGAUUUCCUUGUAGAUAUUUUGAAACAGAUAAGAAACUCCUCCGUGGAAAUUACUGUUAACUAGGGAAAAGACAUGUUUUUUUCUGUUCAUAAAAGUAAUGCGAGUUCUUUGUAGCAAAACUUGGAAAAUGCAUAAAAGUAAAAAAAAAAUGAAAACUUGUGUAAAAUUCCUCAUACUUUAGCCAUCCAUAGAUGGUCCUUACCAUUAGGAUUUUACUAAUUUUCCUUGCAGCUUUUUCUUAAAAUAUACACGUGUGUCUACACAUACAUAGUGUACACUAAAUUUUACAUACACACAGAGGAAUAUAUAUGUGUAUAGUUAUCUUGUGUUUAGAAAUUUGGAAUCCCUUCUAGUUGUCUUGUAACAUGUGCUUACUCUAUUUUGAGGAUUUUCUCUAUGAAUUUCAUGUAGCUCUUUAAAUUAACUUUCAGGAGGAUUGUAACAAUGUGCUCUCCACCCAGUAUUUUACCAGCCUUGAGUUUUCUCAAAGGGGGCAUUGGAGGGGUUCUUAUACAUUUACAGUGGGAAUGUGAAUUGAUACAACUUCUGUGGAGGGCAGUUUAUCAGCCACUAUCUAAAUUACACAUACAUAAACCCUUUGUCUAAGCAAACUUGCUGGGAAUAAAUCCUACACAUAUAUUUGUAUGUGUGCAGACUGUUUGUACAUGGUUUUCAUUAUGCUAUUGAUUUUAAAAGUCAGAAUUUGGAAACAACCCUCCAUGUCCACCAUGGGGAACUGGCUAAGUCAUUUAUGGUGGAAUGGAGAUCAUAGCCUUAAAAAUGAAGACUCUUUAUAUACAGGUUGAGUAUCCCUUAUCCAAAAUGCUCAGGACCAGAAGUGUUUCAGAUUUCAGAUUUUUGAAUUAGGGAUCCUCAAACUAUACUAAUGUGAGAAAGAGCUCUAAGAUAGUUAAGUAGAUAAAAGCAAGGUGUCAAACUGUAGAGUAUGUUUCCAUUUAUGUAAAGAAGAAACAGGCUAGGCAAGGUGACUCACGCCUGUAAUCCCAGCACUUUGGGAGGCCGAGGCGGGUGGAUCACCUGAGGUCCGGAGUUCAAGACCAGCCUGACCAACACGGUGAAACCCCAUCUCUACUAAAAAUACAAAAGCUGGGUGUGGUGGUGCACACUUCUAAUCCCAGCUACUCCGUAGGCUAAGGCAGGAGAAUCGCUUGAACCCAGGAAGUGGAGGUUGCAGUGAGCCAAUAUUGUGCCAUUGCACUCCAGCUUGGGCAACAAGAGCGAAACUCCAUCUCAAAAAUAAAUAAAUAAAUAAGAAACAUUUGUUUAUAUGUACACACAUAAUCUCUGAAAGGGUAAAAGUGGCAUACUGGUUGGCCAGAAGAAUUGGGAGGACAGUGAUGAGGAAUAAUUUUCACUCUUUAUCAUUUUAUAUUUUUGGAAUUUUGAAACAUGUAAAAUUAUUACCAGUUCAAAAAAUAAAUUUAAACAAAAAUCUUAACUGUUUCAAAUUAAAGUAAGUUUGAUAAUUUCUUUCA